GAUGAACGCUAGCGGGAGGCCUAACACAUGCAAGCCGAGCGGUAUUGUUUCUUCGGAAAUGAGAGAGCGGCGUACGGGUGCGUAACACGUGUGCAACCUGCCUUUAUCUGGGGGAUAGCCUUUCGAAAGGAAGAUUAAUACUCCAUAAUAUAUUGAACGGCAUCGUUUAAUAUUGAAAGCUCCGGCGGAUAGAGAUGGGCACGCGCAAGAUUAGCUAGUUGGUGAGGUAACGGCUCACCAAGGCGAUGAUCUUUAGGGGGCCUGAGAGGGUGAUCCCCCACACUGGUACUGAGACACGGACCAGACUCCUACGGGAGGCAGCAGUGAGGAAUGUUGGUCAAUGGGUGCAAGCCUGAACCAGCCAUCCCGCGUGAAGGACGACUGCCCUAUGGGUUGUAAACUUCUUUUGUAUAGGGAUAAACCUACCCUCGAGAGGGUAGCUGAAGGUACUAUACGAAUAAGCACCGGCUAACUCCGUG
This 479-nucleotide ribosomal RNA is filed under the name uncultured bacterium. RNAcentral describes it as "partial 16S ribosomal RNA". It matches the Rfam family "Bacterial small subunit ribosomal RNA", at positions 28 to 507 of the family's 1533-position model. The record is from RNAcentral.